Schizosaccharomyces pombe (fission yeast) is the source of this 246-nucleotide non-coding RNA. The record is from the annotation of a GenBank genome assembly. NCBI's taxonomy places the organism in Eukaryota, Fungi, Ascomycota, Schizosaccharomycetes, Schizosaccharomycetales, Schizosaccharomycetaceae.
AAAUGGUAUUGUAAAUUGAGAAAACUUAUCAACAAUACUAAAUAAUUGCCGGGCCGUAUUUACUAUAAGGAAUUUACUAUUCAUACAUGAAUUAGAUUGAAUGGUCAAAGAGAAAAAUGAAUUAAAAAAGCUUCCAGUAAUUACAUUAUUUCUUAUUAAAAUUUUUCUAUCCAUCCUAUUCAUUUUGACAUUUUUUUAUCAUCAUUGAACCGUAUUCUUCGUAUACCCUUGUGUUUUUCUUUAUAC